This 460-nucleotide ribosomal RNA is filed under the name uncultured bacterium. RNAcentral's name for it is "partial 16S ribosomal RNA". It matches the Rfam family "Bacterial small subunit ribosomal RNA", at positions 338 to 795 of the family's 1533-position model. The record is from RNAcentral.
CCUACGGGUGGCAGCAGUGAGGAAUAUUGGUCAAUGGACGCAAGUCUGAACCAGCCAUGCCGCGUGCAGGAAGACGGCUCUAUGAGUUGUAAACUGCUUUUGUACGAGGGUAAACGCAGAUACGCGUAUCUGUCUGAAAGUAUCGUACGAAUAAGGAUCGGCUAACUCCGUGCCAGCAGCCGCGGUAAUACGGAGGAUUCAAGCGUUAUCCGGAUUUAUUGGGUUUAACGGGUGCGUAGGCGGUAGGAUAAGUUAGAGGUGAAAUCCCGAGGCUCAACCUCGGAAUUGCCUCUGAUACUGGUCGUCUAGAGAGUAGUUGCGGUAGGCGGAAUGUAUGGUGUAGCGGUGAAAUGCUUAGAGAUCAUACAGAACACCGAUUGCGAAGGCAGCUUACCAAGCUACUUCUGACGUUGAGGCACGAAAGCGUGGGGAGCAAACAGGAUUAGAUACCCCUGUAGUC